GGCGGCGUGGAUAAGACAUGCAAGUCGAACGAGAGAAUUGCUAGCUUGCUAAUAAUUCUCUAGUGGCGCACGGGUGAGUAACACGUGAGUAACCUGCCCCCGAGAGCGGGAUAGCCCUGGGAAACUGGGAUUAAUACCGCAUAGUAUCGAAAGAUUAAAGCAGCAAUGCGCUUGGGGAUGGGCUCGCGGCCUAUUAGUUAGUUGGUGAGGUAACGGCUCACCAAGGCGAUGACGGGUAGCCGGUCUGAGAGGAUGUCCGGCCACACUGGAACUGAGACACGGUCCAGACACCUACGGGUGGCAGCAGUCGAGAAUCAUUCACAAUGGGGGAAACCCUGAUGGUGCGACGCCGCGUGGGGGAAUGAAGGUCUUCGGAUUGUAAACCCCUGUCAUGUGGGAGCAAAUUAAAAAGAUAGUACCACAAGAGGAAGAGGCGGCUAACUCUGUGCCAGCAGCCGCGGUAAUACAGAGGUCUCAAGCGUUGUUCGGAAUCACUGGGCGUAAAGCGUGCGUAGGCUGUUUCGUAAGUCGUGUGUGAAAGGCGCGGGCUCAACCCGCGGACGGCACAUGAUACUGCGAGACUAGAGUAAUGGAGGGGAAACCGGAAUUCUCGGUGUAGCAGUGAAAUGCGUAGAUAUCGAGAGGAACACUCGUGGCGAAGGCGGGUUCCUGGACAUUAACUGACGCUGAGGCACGAAGGCCAGGGGAGCGAAAGGGAUUAGAUACCCCUGUAGUCCUGGCAGUAAACGGUGCACGCUUGGUGUGCGGGGAAUCGACCCCCUGCGUGCCGGAGCUAACGCGUUAAGCGUGCCGCCUGGGGAGUACGGUCGCAAGAUUAAAACUCAAAGAAAUUGACGGGGACCCGCACAAGCGGUGGAGUAUGUGGCUUAAUUCGAUGCAACGCGAAGAACCUUACCUGGGCUUGACAUGUAAUGAACAACAUGUGAAAGCAUGCGACUCUUCGGAGGCGUUACACAGGUGCUGCAUGGCCGUCGUCAGCUCGUGUCGUGAGAUGUUUGGUUAAGUCCAGCAACGAGCGCAACCCCUGUUGCCAGUUACCAGCACGUGAAGGUGGGGACUCUGGCGAGACUGCCCAGAUCAACUGGGAGGAAGGUGGGGACGACGUCAGGUCAGUAUGGCCCUUAUGCCCAGGGCUGCACACGUACUACAAUGCCCAGUACAGAGGGGGCCGAAGCCGCGAGGCGGAGGAAAUCCUGAAAACUGGGCCCAGUUCGGACUGUAGGCUGCAACCCGCCUACACGAAGCCGGAAUCGCUAGUAAUGGCGCAUCAGCUACGGCGCCGUGAAUACGUUCCCGGGUCUUGUACACACCGCCCGUCACAUCAUGGAAGCCGGUCGCACCCGAAGUAUCUGAAGCCAACCGCAAGGAGGCAGGGUCCUAAGGUGAGACUGGUAACUGGGAUGAAG
RNAcentral lists this ribosomal RNA (1427 nucleotides) under uncultured organism. Its description in RNAcentral is "16S ribosomal RNA". It matches the Rfam family "Bacterial small subunit ribosomal RNA". The record is from RNAcentral.